RNAcentral lists this unclassified non-coding RNA (252 nucleotides) under fungal sp. Its description in RNAcentral is "partial internal transcribed spacer region". The stretch from base 1 to 45 matches the Rfam family "Eukaryotic small subunit ribosomal RNA", at positions 1787 to 1831 of the family's 1831-position model. Lineage: Eukaryota; Fungi. The record is from RNAcentral.
AGUCGUAACAAGGUUUCCGUAGGUGAACCUGCGGAAGGAUCAUUAAUCAAUAUAAAUAUCACCUUUUCAUUUCAGUACCGUAAGGUGCAGAAAUGAAUAGGCACACCUUUAGUGAGCUUCUAUGAAGUCCAUUAAUUCAUACUCCAUUUAUAUGUCUAAUACCUUAUCUCUUUUUGAGCCUACUUAGGUAGUGUAAAAAAAGAAAUAAUCACAACAUAUAUACAACCUUUAACGAUGGAUAUCUCGGCUCGU